ACACAUUUAAAGUAUUCAGUGAUCGAUCCUUUUGGGUGUUUAUGUUCUUGUCUGAGAUAUUCCUCCCACAAAUCUUAUUAUGACUUUGGCACAUUACACAUCUCACC
Molecule: small nucleolar RNA, 107 nt
Organism: Molossus molossus (Pallas's mastiff bat)
Lineage: Eukaryota; Metazoa; Chordata; Mammalia; Chiroptera; Molossidae
Product: small nucleolar RNA U13
Exons: 1
Source: RefSeq, a predicted model, not a curated record